AGAGUUUGAUCCUGGCUCAGAUUGAACGCUGGCGGCAUGCCUUACACAUGCAAGUCGAACGGCAGCGCGGGGCAACCUGGCGGCGAGUGGCGAACGGGUGAGUAAUAUAUCGGAACGUACCCUGGAGUGGGGGAUAACGUAGCGAAAGUUACGCUAAUACCGCAUACGAUCUAAGGAUGAAAGUGGGGGAUCGCAAGACCUCAUGCUCCUGGAGCGGCCGAUAUCUGAUUAGCUAGUUGGUGGGGUAAAGGCCUACCAAGGCAUCGAUCAGUAGCUGGUCUGAGAGGACGACCAGCCACACUGGAACUGAGACACGGUCCAGACUCCUACGGGAGGCAGCAGUGGGGAAUUUUGGACAAUGGGCGCAAGCCUGAUCCAGCAAUGCCGCGUGAGUGAAGAAGGCCUUCGGGUUGUAAAGCUCUUUUGUCAGGGAAGAAACGGUGUGGGCUAAUAUCCUGCACUAAUGACGGUACCUGAAGAAUAAGCACCGGCUAACUACGUGCCAGCAGCCGCGGUAAUACGUAGGGUGCAAGCGUUAAUCGGAAUUACUGGGCGUAAAGCGUGCGCAGGCGGUUUUGUAAGUCUGUCGUGAAAUCCCCGGGCUCAACCUGGGAAUUGCGAUGGAGACUGCAAGGCUAGAAUCUGGCAGAGGGGGGUAGAAUUCCACGUAGCAGUGAAAUGCGUAGAGAUGUGGAGGAACACCGAUGGCGAAGGCAGCCCCCUGGGUCAAGAUUGACGCUCAUGCACGAAAGCGUGGGGAGCAAACAGGAUUAGAUACCCUAGUAGUCC
Molecule: ribosomal RNA, 789 nt
Filed under: uncultured bacterium
Lineage: Bacteria
Description: bacterial SSU rRNA
Rfam family: Bacterial small subunit ribosomal RNA
Source: RNAcentral